GUUUCCGUAGCUCAAGUCUACGAUUGAACAGCAAUGUUCCUUCCGCAGAGUACACUUGCCGAAGCCUUAGUGGCCCGAAAGGGUUUCACCAGCGACUCUAAACAACUAGGUGGAUUAAACGCUAGUCUCCGCUCUGGGAGGCAACACUAUCAAAUUGCGGGAAGAUCCUGUCAAGUCCAUGUCACCGCGGCUCACCGAAAGGUGCAGCGCAGCACCGGGUUAACAACCCUGGGUAAGGUAACAGUCCAUGGAAUAGGGAGAAUCCGCAGCCAAGCCCCUACGACUUUGGGGGUGCAGUUCACAGGCCAAAUGGUAGUGGGCAUCUAACGGUGCUUAAGAUAUGGUCGAGUCCCAAUUGUAAAGUUGGGUACAAGUACUCUGAUUACUACAUGGAUGUAGUAGCUUGUUAAAUGCAAAUGUUCCGUAGGUGAACCUGCGGAAGGAUCAUUAAUGAAUCACAAGUCGGCCGUUCUGUGCUGGUGGCAACACAUGUGCACGUCGGUCGCAAAUCCACACACCUGUGCACCUUUGACUUUGGGAUCCGCCUGUCUUUUGACUCGCAGCAGGUCGGCUUUGUGCCGUCCUGGGUCUCAGAGUACUUUUACACACUCUGAAUGUAAUGGAAUGUCUCUGUGCUUAACGCGCAUAUAAACAACUUUCAACAACGGAUCUCUUGGCUCUCGCAUCGAUGAAGAACGCAGCGAAAUGCGAUAAGUAUUGUGAAUUGCAGAAUUCAGUGAAUCAUCGAAUCUUUGAACGCACCUUGCACCCUUUGGUAUUCCGAGGGGUACACCCGUUUGAGUGUCAUUGUAACCUCACUCCGACAACUUUGUUGAUGUCUGGAGGUGGAUCUGGACCUUGCCGUGUCAUGAUGGCUGGUCUGAAAUGCAUGAGUGCACCCUGCUGUAGCAGCGUCUUCAGUGUGAUAAGUAUCUUCACUGAUUCAAGCUCCUUCGGGACACGCUUGUCUGGUGGGCUCUGCGCUUCCAACCGUCUCUUGUAGACAUCCUUGACAAUUUGACCUCAAAUCGGGUGGGAUUACCCGCUGAACUUAAGCAUAUCAAUAAGCGGAGGA
This 1075-nucleotide ribosomal RNA is filed under the name uncultured Sebacinales. RNAcentral describes it as "eukaryotic LSU rRNA". The stretch from base 654 to 807 matches the Rfam family "5.8S ribosomal RNA". The record is from RNAcentral. Lineage: Eukaryota; Fungi; Basidiomycota; Agaricomycetes; Sebacinales.